CAGUAGCCACGGGAAUACGAAGGGGGCUAGCGUUGCUCGGAAUGACUGGGCGUAAAGGGCGCGUAGGCGGCGGCCAAAGUCAGGCGUGAAAUUCCCGGGCUCAACCUGGGGGCUGCGUUUGAUACUUGGUUGCUUGAGUGGGGAAGAGGGUCGUGGAAUUCCCAGUGUAGAGGUGAAAUUCGUAGAUAUUGGGAAGAACACCGGUGGCGAAGGCGGCGACCUGGUCCUUUACUGACGCUGAGGCGCGAAAGCGUGGGGAGCAAACAGGAUUAGAUACCCGCGUAGUCCCUGUCUCUUAUAC
Molecule: ribosomal RNA, 301 nt
Filed under: uncultured bacterium
Lineage: Bacteria
Description: partial 16S ribosomal RNA
Rfam family: Bacterial small subunit ribosomal RNA
Source: RNAcentral